RNAcentral lists this ribosomal RNA (310 nucleotides) under uncultured bacterium. RNAcentral's name for it is "partial 16S ribosomal RNA". It matches the Rfam family "Bacterial small subunit ribosomal RNA", at positions 503 to 809 of the family's 1533-position model. The record is from RNAcentral.
AAGAGACAGCAGCCGCCGCGGUAAUACAGAGGGUGCGAGCGUUAAUCGGAUUUACUGGGCGUAAAGCGUGCGUAGGCGGCUUCUUAAGUCGGAUGUGAAAUCCCUGAGCUUAACUUAGGAAUUGCAUUCGAUACUGGGAAGCUAGAGUAUGGGAGAGGAUGGUAGAAUUCCAGGUGUAGCGGUGAAAUGCGUAGAGAUCUGGAGGAAUACCGAUGGCGAAGGCAGCCAUCUGGCCUAAUACUGACGCUGAGGUACGAAAGCAUGGGGAGCAAACAGGAUUAGAUACCCGUGUAGUCCCUGUCUCUUAUAA